GACGAACGCUGGCGGCGUGCUUAACACAUGCAAGUCGAACGGAAAGGCCCGGCGCUUGUGGGGUGCUCGAGUGGCGAACGGGGGAGUAACACGUGAGUAACCUGCCCUUGACUUUGGGAUAACUUCAGGAAACUGGGGCUAAUACCGGAUAGGAGCUCCUGCUGCAUGGGGGGGGUUGGUGAGAGUCGGCGGUUGGGGAUGGAUUCGCGGCUUAUCAGCUGGUUUGUGGGGUAGUGGCGUACAAAGGCUUUGACGGGUAGCCGGCCUGAGAGGGUGACCGGCGACCUUGGGCCUGAGAUACGGCCCAGACGCCUACGGGACGCAGCAGUGGGGAAUCUUGCGCAAUGGGCGGAAGCCUGAUACAGCAACGUCGCGUGCGUGAUAACCGGCUUCGGGUUGUAAACCGAUUUCGCCGGAGCCGAACAGUGCGUGACGGUACUGGGUAAAGAAGCCACGGCUAACUACGUG
Molecule: ribosomal RNA, 468 nt
Filed under: uncultured bacterium
Lineage: Bacteria
Description: partial 16S ribosomal RNA
Rfam family: Bacterial small subunit ribosomal RNA
Source: RNAcentral